AUUGUGGCUCAGUGGCAGAGCACUUGCCUCACAUGUAUGAGGCACUGGGUUCGAUCCUCAGCACAAUA
RNAcentral lists this transfer RNA (68 nucleotides) under Ictidomys tridecemlineatus (thirteen-lined ground squirrel). Its description in RNAcentral is "Spermophilus tridecemlineatus (thirteen-lined ground squirrel) tRNA". It matches the Rfam family "tRNA". Rfam says of the family: Transfer RNA (tRNA) molecules are approximately 80 nucleotides in length. Their secondary structure includes four short double-helical elements and three loops (D, anti-codon, and T loops). The record is from Rfam by way of RNAcentral. Lineage: Eukaryota; Metazoa; Chordata; Mammalia; Rodentia; Sciuridae.